Molecule: ribosomal RNA, 801 nt
Filed under: uncultured bacterium
Lineage: Bacteria
Description: bacterial SSU rRNA
Rfam family: Bacterial small subunit ribosomal RNA
Source: RNAcentral
CGAAGUUCUUCGGAAUGAGUAGAGCGGCGGACGGGUGAGUAACGCGUAGGAAUCUGUCCGGUAGUGGGGGAUAACGUUCCGAAAGGAACGCUAAUACCGCAUACGCCCCACGGGGGAAAGGGGGGGAUCCUUCGGGACCUCUCGCUAUCGGAGGAGCCUGCGUCGGAUUAGCUAGUUGGUGGGGUAAAGGCCCACCAAGGCGACGAUCCGUAGCUGGUCUGAGAGGAUGAUCAGCCACACCGGAACUGAGACACGGUCCGGACUCCUACGGGAGGCAGCAGUGGGGAAUAUUGCACAAUGGGCGAAGGCCUGAUGCAGCAACGCCGCGUGAGCGAUGAAGGCCUUCGGGUCGUAAAGCUCUGUCCUCAAGGAAGAUAAUGACGGUACUUGAGGAGGAAGCCCCGGCUAACUACGUGCCAGCAGCCGCGGUAAUACGUAGGGGGCUAGCGUUAUCCGGAAUUACUGGGCGUAAAGGGUGCGUAGGUGGUUUCUUAAGUCAGAGGUGAAAGGCUACGGCUCAACCGUAGUAAGCCUUUGAAACUGGGAAACUUGAGUGCAGGAGAGGAGAGUGGAAUUCCUAGUGUAGCGGUGAAAUGCGUAGAUAUUAGGAGGAACACCAGUUGCGAAGGCGGCUCUCUGGACUGUAACUGACACUGAGGCACGAAAGCGUGGGGAGCAAACAGGAUUAGAUACCCUGGUAGUCCACGCCGUAAACGAUGAGUACUAGCUGUCGGAGGUUACCCCCUUCGGUGGCGCAGCUAACGCAUUUAAGUACUCCGCCUAGGAAGUACGCUCGCAAGA